CUGAAUGAGUUCCAGGACAGCCAAGGCUGUUAUGAAAAACAAAAACAUCCCCACCCCAAAUCACCUGGGAAAUAGUCUGUGGGCAUGACUGAGGAAGAUUAUCUUGACUGGGUUGGUUGAGGGAAGAUUCAUUCGGCAAAGGAGCAAACCACGAAUUCAUCAUUCUUUGCUUUCUGAUUGUGGAUCUGACAUAGCCAACUGCAUCAAGUUCCUCUUGCUUUGACUUUCCCACCAUGAUGUAAUUUAUCCUUAAUUGUGAACUAAAAGAUACCCUUUCUCCUUUAAGUUGUUUUUGCUAAUAUUUUAUCACAGCAAAGGGAAAAGAAGUUAAGACAAAAACAGGUACUAAGCAACAGGGUUGCUGCUGAGAGAAACCUAACUGUGGUCUUUAGGCCAUCAGAACUGUUUUAUGGCUGGGAUGUGACAAUCUGGACCUUUGGAUUAGAAAAGCUCUCCAGCGCUGUAAACAGGGCUUACUGGGACACUUUAGCAUGAGCUUGGAAGAUAAGAAUGCUAAGGGAAACAGCCAGUGGAGGCCUGGCUCAGAAGUUUCAGACAGGAAGAGGACUCUUAGAAUCAGGGCUUAAAAUUUGUUUUCAUUAUUUGGGUGUGCACAUUGGUGCACAUAUAGAGGUCAGAGGAUGUUUUUGUGAAGUCAGUUCCCUCUCACUGCCUCCAGGGAUUGAACUCAGGACACUAGUCUGACACAGGAAGCGUCUUCACUAAGCCAUCUCACCAGCCUGACAGUCUGCUUUGAAACUUUUGGAAUUGUUAAUGGUUAUAGGAGUUUUAAAGUUGGGGUGAAUGAUUUUUUUUUAAUUUUUAAUUUUUUUUUUUUACUUUUUAUUGAUUCUUUGUGAAUUUCACAUCAUGCACCCCAGUCUCGCUCAUCUCCCUGUGCCCUCAUAUCCAUCCUUCACCCUUGCAAUGCUCCCCCAAACUAAACACACACACACACAUACCACUACCACCAUCAACAACAACAACAACAACAACAAAGCAUAAAAAACACCUCAUCAUGAAAGCUGUAGUGUGUCACAGUGUAUCCCACAGCAUAUCCUCUGUCCACACAUCUUCUCUUACAAAUGUCCAUUGCAAUGAGUCACUGGUCUGGUUUGAGGUCUUUGUCUUCUAUGACACCAUCAAGAUUGGAUCCUCACUGGGACUCCUCUUGUUGUUGCCCUGUGUCAUGGAGCUCCUGCAGCUUUGGAUCAGCAGGACAAGCCCUUUCACAUGCCCCAACCAUUUGCAGAUGAUAGAGAUUUUGGGGAUAGGCCAACUCAGAGCCCUGAAUCUGGGCCUGGGUGGUAGCUGAGCUGGUCAGCCUGCUGAUUUCCCUUAUCUGUACCACCAGGGCAAGCUCUCCAGCACUGCUCUGGCUAGACCACCCAAUGGUGCCAUCCGUAGGAGACAGAGUCAGCUUUCCUGCCCUCAUGCCCUCUGGGCCAGCUCACCCACCACCCAUGCCUCCAGAACCAGUCCACUGUGCUGCCCAUUCAAAGUAUGGGGCCCACUCUCCCAAGUGCUGCAGCCUGUGAGGGACUGUACCAGCCCUCUUGAGCUCACACCCUGGGACUCACCCCAGCCUUCCCUUCGCCAACAGGGCCAGCUCCACUGUCUUGCUGCAGCUGGUGAGGGACAGGGCCAGCUCACCCACUCUCAAGACCCAGGGUCAGCUCUCCAGACUGCUGAAGGUGGGGGGAGGGGCAUGGACCUCAGCAGCAGCUCAGGCUGGGACCUCACUGGCAGGGCUGGAUACUCACAGCAAGUUGCUCCUCUCCGCCCUCGAGUCUCCAGUUCCAUCUCUCUUCAUAACGCUCAAGCAGCUCCAAUUCUCUUUGUCUCCCAUCUGUCCACCACAUACUUGCACAUCGUGGUGGAUUCCACUGCAGGCUGGUCGAAUGGCUGGCAUGUUCCUGGGUGAAUCCUCCACCUGUGCUGCAUGGUGUGGUGGCAAGCAGGUGCCGAUGACUCUCUUGUGCUGUGCACUGGAGGGCAGGUCUGUGGGUAACAUGGCAGUCCUUGACACAGGUCUGUAUCUGUAUCUUCCUCCGCACGAGCUGCACUGCCUGGAUUUACUUUGAUUUGAUUUUUAUGAGUCCUAGGCAUAAAACAGCUUUGGCCACCAAGCCAGAUAUUAAUCUAGGUUGAACAUCUGUUCUGCCCCUGACACCACCACCAAGGUGUCUCUUUGCCCAUUGCUGGGGUGGGGGUGGGGAAGUGAGUGAAUUUUAUAUUGUAAAACAGUCGUAAUCCUGUGAGUACACAAAUGAAAGGUUUGGAUUAAAAGCGGUGUGUUUGCCUGACAAGCUGAUGGGGCAGACUUGAAAUAGAAUGCAGAAACAUCUGAAAGAGAGGCCUCGGGGCAUGCUUGCCGGUAGGGAGGAUUAUCUUGAUUAUAUUCAUUAAAGUGGGAAGAUUCAUUCACUUUGGGCAAUAGGAUUCCCUAAAUGGGAUGCUGGGCUGCCUAAGUGGAGAACAGUUGCUGAGCAGCACGCAGGGACUGCAUCCAUCCCUCUGUUUCCCAUGGCAGAUGUGAUAUGACCACCUCUUCCAGCUCCUUGAGUUCCUUGCCACGAUGGACUGGACUAAACUAAACCUUCUCUUCCUUAAUUUGCUUCUGUUGCAGCCUUUUAUCAUCCAUAACAAGC
Molecule: long non-coding RNA, 2651 nt
Filed under: Mus musculus (house mouse)
Lineage: Eukaryota; Metazoa; Chordata; Mammalia; Rodentia; Muridae
Description: long non-coding RNA chrX:102179010-102181661
Source: RNAcentral